GAACUGCGAUAAGUAAUGUGAAUUGCAGAAUUCAGUGAAUCAUCGAGUCUUUGAACGCACAUUGCGCCCCCUGGCAUUCCGGGGGGCAUGCCUGUCCGAGCGUCAUUGCUGCCCUUCAAGCCCGGCUUGUGUGUUGGGUCGUCGUCCCCUCCGGGGGACGGGCCCGAAAGGCAGCGGCGGCACCGCGUCCGGUCCUCGAGCGUAUGGGGCUUUGUCACCCGCUCGAUAAGGACCGGCCGGGCGCCAGCCGGCGUCUCCAACCUUUUUUUCUCAGGUUGACCUCGGAUCAGGUAGGGAUACCCGCUGAACUAAAGC
Molecule: unclassified non-coding RNA, 315 nt
Filed under: plant metagenome
Description: partial contains 5.8S ribosomal RNA, internal transcribed spacer 2, and large subunit ribosomal RNA
Rfam family: 5.8S ribosomal RNA (bases 1-105)
Source: RNAcentral